This 166-nucleotide unclassified non-coding RNA is filed under the name uncultured Rhizoscyphus. RNAcentral's name for it is "sequence contains ITS1". Lineage: Eukaryota; Fungi; Ascomycota; Leotiomycetes; Helotiales; Helotiaceae. The record is from RNAcentral.
AAGAACGCCCCGUUUUUUGAAAUGGGUAAUUCCCAAACCGUGUCUAUAUAUAUACCUUUGUUGCUUUGGCAGGUCGCCUUCUAGGAGGCGUCGGCUCCGGCUGACUGCGCCUGCCAGAGGACCCAAACUCGUUUAUCAGUGAUGUCUGAGUACUAUAUAAUAGUUA